This 489-nucleotide ribosomal RNA is filed under the name Triticum aestivum (bread wheat). RNAcentral describes it as "partial small subunit ribosomal RNA". The record is from RNAcentral. Lineage: Eukaryota; Viridiplantae; Streptophyta; Magnoliopsida; Poales; Poaceae.
AUGGCGGCGGCAGGCAAGGUCCCGACGCUGGCCGAGGAAUAUUCACUCCCACCCAAGGAAGUCUCUGUCGAAAAAUCUGCUACGAGCACUGUGGCCGAAGUUGUUCCUCAGAAGGAUACUGAAACCUCACCAGCUGAUGAGACCGCUGUUGCUGUUGAGGAAAAAAGUGAAACUCCUGAGGUGAAAGAGCCAGAGGCGGAAGAAACCGUUCCUGCUGCAGAGGAAAGCGAUGAGGCUCCUGAGGAAACUGAAGAGAAACCAGAAAUUGUGAUUGAGACAGCUCCAGCAGAUUUUCGUUUCCCCACAACAAAUCAAACAAGACAUUGCUUCACGCGCUAUGUUGAAUACCAUAGGUGCGUAGCUGCAAAAGGAGAUGAUGCUCCUGAGUGUGAAAAGUUUGCAAAGUACUACCGAUCACUAUGCCCAAGUGAAUGGGUUGAGCGUUGGAACGAGCAACGGGAGAAUGGCACAUUCCCUGGACCCCUGUAA